AUUGAACGCUGGCGGCAUGCCUUACACAUGCAAGUCGAACGGCAGCGCGGGGGCAACCCUGGCGGCGAGUGGCGAACGGGUGAGUAAAAUAUCGGAACGUGCCCUAAAGUGGGGGAUAACGUAGCGAGAGUUACGCUAAUACCGCAUAAGAUCUAAGGAUGAAAGCGGGGGAUCGCAAGACCUCGUGCUUUAGGAGUGGCCGAUAACUGAUUAGCUAGUUGGUGGGGUAAAGGCUCACCAAGGCGACGAUCAGUAGCUGGUCUGAGAGGACGACCAGCCACACUGGGACUGAGACACGGCCCAGACUCCUACGGGAGGCAGCAGUGGGGAAUUUUGGACAAUGGGGGCAACCCUGAUCCAGCAAUGCCGCGUGUGUGAAGAAGGCCUUCGGGUUGUAAAGCACUUUUGUUCGGGACGAAACGGUUUGGGCUAAUACCCUGAGCUAAUGACGGUACCGAAAGAAUAAGCACCGGCUAACUACGUGCCAGCAGCCGCCGUAA
This 500-nucleotide ribosomal RNA is filed under the name uncultured bacterium. RNAcentral describes it as "partial 16S ribosomal RNA". It matches the Rfam family "Bacterial small subunit ribosomal RNA", at positions 30 to 523 of the family's 1533-position model. The record is from RNAcentral.